This is a long non-coding RNA of Brassica rapa (field mustard), 3162 nucleotides long. RefSeq lists it as uncharacterized. Lineage: Eukaryota; Viridiplantae; Streptophyta; Magnoliopsida; Brassicales; Brassicaceae. The record is from RefSeq and is a predicted model, not a curated record.
UAUAUCUAUCUAUAUAUAUAUAAAAGAGAGUUAUCUCUUUUUUGGUGAAGCCACCUCAGCAUCCAGGUUACAAAGUCAAGUUCCAACAGAUUGAUACGUAUCCACUUAAAUGAAACUAUGUAUUUCAUUAAGUCGUAUAUGCUCAUCGUGAUUUAGGCUUUUCGUCUAUGUUAUUUGUUGCUGUGUGUAUGGGCUGCGAAAGUAAUGGGCUACACUUAAUUUUACUAAAGACCCAUAACCUGAAUAAGGUAAAUCCUAAGCAACUCCCAUCGUUUACUUCUUCGUUGUUGUACGACGACUUCUCAUCUUCAUCAUCUCUACCACUGAAACGCUUCUGAUUAUUACUUCUUCGUGUUAAUCUUUAUUAAUUAUUCAACCACGAUGUAGCCUUGAAUGCUUGCUUCGCUUUUUGGAGUCGGAGUAGGUGUAUCUGCAGAGUAUAAAUAGGUCAGUAUUCUUCCUCCUACAAUCAUCUUAUCAGCAUGGUUAAACAGCAAAACUUCAAAAUUCCAAUAGGAUUCGAUAUGUAUUUCUUUCUAAGUAUAACGACUAAACAGUUUGUUCUACUUACUGAUUUGAAGUCCCGACGUUGUUCUUCCACUUCCUUGCGGCUGCUCAGAUCUGAGAAGCCAGAAACGGGAGUUGACAGGAUCCUCCUUGAUGCUGAGGUAUUCCGUUCUUGAACCUUAUGAACUAAAUUUUAAACUAUUUCUUGCUUUUAAACUGAUAAAUAUCCAAAACUCUGUAUUAAGAUCCUUAUUCAAACUCUUUUGAAUGAUAAAUGUUGGACCCGUUUGUUGAUUAUGCUUUCUUUAUACAUGUGUUGCAGUCAACACUCAUGCCAAUCAACGUGAAUGUCAACCGUCUUGCUCCACCGGCAUGAAGGACAAAGGGUGUUGUUAGUUGUUGUUGGGAUUGUGAAAUCUCGUGUCCAACUCUAUAUUAUCCGGUUAGUACGAUAUUGUCCACUUUGGGCCUUAGGCAAGCCCGCAUGGUUUUACUUUUGGUUUCCAUCCCAAAAGACCUCGUACUAUUAAAGUUGGACUUCUCUUUAUAUAUUAGACUUUUCUUUGUCUAAUAUCCGAUGUGGGACUUAACUUGUUAUCUCACAUUCUCCCCCUCAAGCUAAGGACCACAUUCAUCUCAUAUGUUUCCUUCGGCGAAUCAUCUUCGGCACCACCUUGUACCAGUAAUCGCAAAGCUUUCUUUGAGAAUGUUUCUCCCACUACACAUCACAGGUGGACUAAGGAGCUUCAAUGGACUGUCUCAGCCUUUACUUGCAAAACUUCCAACAAUGCUAAUGUUGUUGGUGUCCUCUGGUAUGUAGCGACCCUAAACACAUUGUUUUCUUAGCUUUAGAUAUCUUUUAAAUUAGUUAAUUUGGCUAAUUAUAUUUUGUUUUUGAUGUAAUGAAUGGUUUAAUGUUUUAAAAAUUAUAGAUUGUGAAAGUUACUCACAGUAAUGUGUAUAAGGUGAAGAUUUAUUGACUAAAAAUGGUAGCUUCAGAGAAAGUUAGAUUUGAUUAUUUGGACGCAUACAGUGUUACGUUCAUGGCGAGAGAGAAUCUUGUGCUGCAUGGGCUAAAUUAUCAUAAAGUUAUUAAGUCUCUACAUCGUUUUCAGUCUAUGGAGCAUCCUCUCCCUGGCCUUCCUGUGACUCAAGGUAUUAAAUUUAAUCUUUUUCAAGUUUGUGUUGUGUUUUGCGUUUCAAUUCUUGCUGGUGAGAGAUGAAUAUAUUGUUUUAUAUAAGAUCAUAAGAUAAUUAAUUACAGAAAAAUUUAAUGUUCAAGUCUUCAUCUGCAGUGUAAUUAUGCUUCCACAUAUAAGUGGUAAUUGUGAUUUCCAACGAUGUGAUGUUCCAUUUUCUGAUUUUUGAUUCACUUUGAUCUUUUUUUAUUGUUUUAUUUUAUUUUCGAGGCAACUCUUUUUUUUUCUGGUCACAGUCGUCCUGCUUAGUUAUGAAAUAAUUUAAGACACUAGGUUUGAUCAGACUGGCAAUGAUGACGAUGAUAUGCCUGCAAUGAACUCAGUCUCUGCUAAGGUGGACGUUGGCGGUAGUACUCUUGAGGGAGCACCAACUACAUGAGCUGAUCCAAGUGAUCUUGACACUAAGAAGCCUCCGGCUUGAGCAUCUUUGAAGAUGGCAGAGAAAGCACGCAUGGCACAAUGGCACAAGUGAAGAUAACGAGAACUCUGAGCGCAGUAUUUCCUAUUUGAAUAAUGCAAACAUAUCUAUGUUGCUUAACGAGUUUUUUUUCUUUCGUUCCAUCCCUUUGGAUUUGCUAUGUUUGGUUCAGACGAUGUUUAAAUUUUUUUUUUAAGUUUAAAUAAAUUGAUGUAUUUGUGACAUGUUGUUUAAUCAUUACGGUUCCACGAAAAAUAAAAACAUGAGCUUCAUACUUCGCCAAAUAUAGUCAGAGAUAAUUUGUUGCAUUAAUGUAUAAUUAUAUUUAUAACAUUCAAAGAAUAAGAACAAUAUUUCACAAGCAAGAAUCUGUGCAUCACAAACAUAACAAGAAUCAACAACAGAACUAUAACUCUGAAUAUUUGGCACUUCAAAUCUUUUCCUCACUAGGAAGGUUAACUUGCAACUUAAAAAGGGAAUUCUUCCCUUCACUAAUUCAGAAUCAUUAUAAUUUUACCUUCACUACCUAUUAUAUCCCAUUUUAUAAACCUGUAUAUAUAAAAUUGGGUUUGCUUUCCUCCUAGGCAGACAUGUCACGAAUUCGAGUCUUGAGAAGCCGACACGUGUCUGCGUCCAAAACACGGUGUUUCAUUAACUUGGAGCUGGAGAUCGUGUGGGCUUUUGGUGUAACUCAUAAACAUGCGAAAAUAUUUUCGUGUGGGCUUUAGAUCAAAUUAAAAAUAAUACUUUUAACAAUAUAAUUUUAUAUUUUAGUAAGCAAAUAAUGUCGUGUUCUUCGUCUUAUGAAUACGUCAUAAAACAGCUCUUAUGAUAUUGUUGAUAUUCAAUCCGAUCAUACUGGUAUGAAAAAUUAAUGUAAAUCAACAGACGAACCGAGUACGAUAAUUUUAAUUGAAUUUACAUGUGUCGAAAAUACAAUAAAAUAUUUUUAUUUAUUUUAAUGUGUAAAAUAGCCCGUAAAAAACAAAAAAAACUAGAUGAACCAAUAGGUUUAUAGUAUAUUAGUGAACAUACAUA